GACGAACGCUGGCGGCGUGCUUAACACAUGCAAGUCGAACGGUGAAAGCGGAGCUUGCUCCGCUGGAUCAGUGGCGAACGGGUGAGUAACACGUGGGCAACCUGCCCCUCACUUCGGGAUAACUCCGGGAAACCGGGGCGAAUACCGGAUAUGACCUCCUUCGGCAUCCUUGGAGGUGGAAAGUUUUUCGGUGAGGGAUGGGCCCGCGGCCUAGCAGCUUGUUGGUGAGGGAGUGGCUCACCAAGGCGACGACGGGUAGCCGGCCUGAGAGGGGUGACGUCCGAACGGGAACGGAGACACGACCCAGCCGCCUACGGGAGGCAGCAGUAGGGAAUCUUCCGCAAUGGACGAAAGUCUGACGGAGCAACACCGCGUGAGUGAUGAAGGCUUUCGUGUCGUAAAACUCUGUUGUUAGGGAAGAACAAGUGCUAGUUGUAUAAGCUGGCACCUUGACGGUACCUAACCAGAAAGCCACGGCUAACUACGUGCCAGCCGCCGCAGUAA
This 504-nucleotide ribosomal RNA is filed under the name uncultured bacterium. Its description in RNAcentral is "partial 16S ribosomal RNA". It matches the Rfam family "Bacterial small subunit ribosomal RNA", at positions 28 to 523 of the family's 1533-position model. The record is from RNAcentral.